GGGUGACUAGUCUAGUGGUCAGGACGGUUCGUUGUGGUUCCUUCUUUCGAGAAGAACAACAAUUUCCGAACAAACCCCGGUUCGAUUCCGGGGUCGCCCA
This is a non-coding RNA of Rhypophila decipiens, 100 nucleotides long. The record is from the annotation of a GenBank genome assembly. Lineage: Eukaryota; Fungi; Ascomycota; Sordariomycetes; Sordariales; Naviculisporaceae.